UGUUGAAAAUACUCAAUAAUCAAAGUCAAGAAAAACAACAUCUAGAAGUAGAAAUAUUUAGCAAAGUCAAAAGAAAUAUUUUGUAUGACUUUAGUGAGAUUAUGCAUGACUUUACUACAUUUCUGAACCUAUAAAUAAGUAUCAUUGUAAUACGGAAGAUUAUCAAGCAAUACAAUAACAAUCAUUUGCUUCUCUUUAUCUUUCUUUAUGCAUUAUGAUAAUACCAUGUUUUAACAUGGUAUCAGAGCAGGUUCAACCCUAGGAACUCAGAAACGACUCAUCAUCGUUCAUAAUCCAAAACCAAAACCGUUCCUAGCCAAUUCACCAAAUCAAAACAGCCCAUGUUCUUCAUUUCCUGAAAAAAAAAUGCCAGGAAAGAUUGAAACCAUAAACCAAACAGAUUCAAAUAACCCAAAUCCAAACAGAAUCCACAGAAUGGGUCGAAGAGACCCAAAUCCAAUCAACUGCAAUGAAGAAGGAAUUAAUAAGCACCGAAAAUUAAUCGGAAAUUGCCGAGUAUUUCAGUUCCUCCCUGGAUUAGAU
RNAcentral lists this long non-coding RNA (543 nucleotides) under Salvia miltiorrhiza (redroot sage). Its description in RNAcentral is "long non-coding RNA (SMIL_LNC007793)". The record is from RNAcentral. Lineage: Eukaryota; Viridiplantae; Streptophyta; Magnoliopsida; Lamiales; Lamiaceae.